Molecule: long non-coding RNA, 323 nt
Filed under: Carica papaya (papaya)
Lineage: Eukaryota; Viridiplantae; Streptophyta; Magnoliopsida; Brassicales; Caricaceae
Description: long non-coding RNA (CPAP_LNC004129)
Source: RNAcentral
ACCACUCCCUGUAGAUGACAACGUGAAAGCGCAUAGGAAACCUUAAGACCAUUAUGGUAAAGUAUGACCAUAGUCAUAGCCUUUAGGACCACAGUAGUUGGCAUGACCGUGGUUACAGAUUAUACUGUGGUUUGGUGAGCUGCAAAUCUAAUAUGAUGUGUUGAGUGGUAAAUCAGCUAUGGAGUAGUGAGCCACAAAUCUACUAUGGUUGAGUAAGCCGUAAAUUGUCGAUAGUGUCACCAUAGCGGUAGUUGGGAGUCUGUAUUAGCCAAUAGAUAAAAAGUCGUUAUGGGCUUCGCGUGAAGUAUGGUAAAAGACUUAAC